GAUGAACGCUGGCGGCGUGCCUAAUACAUGCAAGUCGAGCGAACAGACGAGGAGCUUGCUCCUCUGACGUUAGCGGCGGACGGGUGAGUAACACGUGGAUAACCUACCUAUAAGACUGGGAUAACUUCGGGAAACCGGAGCUAAUACCGGAUAAUAUAUUGAACCGCAUGGUUCAAUAGUGAAAGACGGUUUUGCUGUCACUUGUAGAUUGAUCCGCGCCGCAUUAGCUAGUUGGUAAGGUAACGGCUUACCAAGGCAACGAUGCGUAGCCGACCUGAGAGGGUGAUCGGACAAACUGGAACUGAGACACGGACCAGACUCCUACGGGAGGCAGCAGUAGGGAAUCUUCCGCAAUGGGCGAAAGCAUGACGGAGCAAAGCCGCGUGAGUGAUGAAGGUCUUCGGAUCGUAAAACUCUGUUAUUAGGGAAGAACAAAUGUGUAAGUAACUAUGCACGUAUUGACGGUACCUAAUCAGAAAGCAACGGCUAACUACGUG
Molecule: ribosomal RNA, 497 nt
Filed under: uncultured bacterium
Lineage: Bacteria
Description: partial 16S ribosomal RNA
Rfam family: Bacterial small subunit ribosomal RNA
Source: RNAcentral